This 700-nucleotide ribosomal RNA is filed under the name Coxiella sp. (in: g-proteobacteria). RNAcentral describes it as "bacterial SSU rRNA". It matches the Rfam family "Bacterial small subunit ribosomal RNA", at positions 28 to 718 of the family's 1533-position model. Lineage: Bacteria; Pseudomonadati; Pseudomonadota; Gammaproteobacteria; Legionellales; Coxiellaceae. The record is from RNAcentral.
AUUGAACGCUAGCGGCAUGCCUAACACAUGCAAGUCGAACGGCAGCGGGGGGAGCUUGCUCCCUGACGGCGAGUGGCGGACGGGUGAGUAACACGUAGGAAUCUACCUCAUUAUAGUGGGGGAUAACCCGGGGAAACUCGGGCUAAUACCGCAUAAUCUCUUCAAAGCAAAGCGGGGGAUCUUCGGACCUCGUGCUAUGAGAUGAGCCUGCGUCGGAUUAGCUAGUUGGUAGGGUAAUGGCCUACCAAGGCGACGAUCCGUAGCUGGUCUGAGAGGACGAUCAGCCACACUGGGACUGAGACACGGCCCAGACUCUACGGGAGGCAGCAGUGGGGAAUAUUGGACAAUGGGGGGAACCCUGAUCCAGCAAUGCCGCGUGUGUGAAGAAGGCUUCGGGUUGUAAAGCACUUUCAGUGGGGAAGAAAUUCUCAAGUCUAAUACCCUUGAGCGUUGACGUUACCCACAGAAGAAGCACUGGCUAACUCUGUGCCAGCAGCCGCGGUAAUACAGAGAGUGCAAGCGUUAAUCGGAAUCACUGGGCGUAAAGCGCGCGUAGGUGGAUAUUUAAGUCGGAUGUGAAGGCCCUAGGCUUAACCUGGGAAUUACAUCCGAUACUAGGUAUCUCGAGUAUGAUAGAGGGAAGUGGAAUUUCCGGUGUAGCGGUGAAAUGCGUAGAUAUCGGAAAGAACAUCAGUGGCGA